GAGUUUGAUCGUGGCUCAGGACGAACGCUGGCGGCGUGCUUAACACAUGCAAGUCAAGGGGGCCCAGCAAUGGGCAACCGGCGAACGGGUGCGUAACACGUGAGCAACCUUCCGAAAUAUGGGGGAUAGCCGGCCUAACGGCCGAGGUAAUACCGCAUACGCUCUCGAUGAGGCAUUUCAUUGAGAGGAAACCUACGGGGUAUUUCGAGGGGCUCGCGGCCUAUCAGCUAGUUGGCGAGUAACGGCUCACCAAGGCAACGACGGGUAGCUGGUCUGAGAGGAUGGCCAGCCACAUUGGGACUGAGAUACGGCCCAGACUCCUACGGGAGGCAGCAGUGGGGAAUCUUGCGCAAUGGCCUAACGGCUGACGCAGCGACGCCGCGUGUGGGAUGAAGCUCUUCGGAGUGUAAACCACUGUUGCCCGGGACGAAUAGCUCGAUUAAUCGAGCCUGACAGUACCGGGUGAGGAAGCACCGGCUAACUCCGUGCCAGCCGCCGCCGU
Molecule: ribosomal RNA, 502 nt
Filed under: uncultured bacterium
Lineage: Bacteria
Description: bacterial SSU rRNA
Rfam family: Bacterial small subunit ribosomal RNA
Source: RNAcentral